AGCUUUGCGCAGUGGCAGUAUCAUAGCCAAUGAGGUUUAUCCGAGGCGCGAUUAUUGUUAAUUAAAAAUAUAAAAAGACAU
Molecule: small nuclear RNA, 81 nt
Filed under: Neogale vison (American mink)
Lineage: Eukaryota; Metazoa; Chordata; Mammalia; Carnivora; Mustelidae
Description: Neovison vison (American mink) U4 spliceosomal RNA (ENSNVIG00000009515.1)
Rfam family: U4 spliceosomal RNA
About the family: U4 small nuclear RNA (U4 snRNA) is a component of the major U2-dependent spliceosome. The structure of U4 snRNA from yeast and human has been reported.
Source: RNAcentral